UCGUGGAUCGCCGAGGACAUCCCCGCCGGGGAAAGGACGGGGGCAGCUUCGGCUGCCAGGGCCGUAGUACCGGAGGUGGCCGGCGGCGGCGACUGGUGCGGCGACGAUGGCCGCUGCGAGGUGGCGGGGAAGGCGGUGAUGGUGGCGGCGGUGGUGGUGGGAAGGUCCGAUAAACUCAUCGAACCCAAGCUAUCUGAUACCAAAUUGGUGGAGGCUAGGGUUCUACCAGGUCUCGGACGUAGGUUGUAGGGGUGGAAGUGCGGGCUGCGAGGUUGGGGACGCCGGCGCCGGCGGUUGGGCGCCGUCGCAGCGUGAGAGAGAGAGAGAGAGGCGGCUAGGGUUUGGGGCUCCCGUCUCCUGAGGAAGACGACAACAAAAUACUGUUUAUUGUCUGCUUAAUAUCGAAGGGGUACAUGUGUUUAUAUAGGAGGACAGCCUCCACUA
This 444-nucleotide long non-coding RNA is filed under the name Hordeum vulgare. RNAcentral describes it as "long non-coding RNA (HVUL_LNC016063)". Lineage: Eukaryota; Viridiplantae; Streptophyta; Magnoliopsida; Poales; Poaceae. The record is from RNAcentral.